CAGUCAACCACUACUGUCUGCGAGGAGUUUUCUGUUUAGUAUGUGCUCAGCUUAAAAAACAUAAUAAAAAAUAAAAAGUAUUCUAUUUCAUACAACUUUGAUUUUCUAAUUGGCUUAGAUUAUUGUGGGGAAUAAAACAACAUUGAGAAGACAAAUCUCAGCAUGAGCAGCUGUUGCAGCAGAGUAGAGGAGGAACGAAGCAUGGCCCUGGGGAGGAUGAAGGGAAAGUUUUCAUAUGCUACCUGAGAACUUGUUUUGACAGGCGUUCCCACACUUGUGCUGUAACAACUGCUGGAACCAGUGGCAUGAAUGAUGCUGGACACAAGAUAUGUCCUGAAAAGAGGACUUCUUUUGGAGAGACACGAAGACACACUGGCAUGCCUGAAAGAAAUGAUUAAUGAGGAGAGCAAAAAGAAAAUUUUGGGACGUGGUGAAAGAUAA
Molecule: long non-coding RNA, 441 nt
Filed under: Anser brachyrhynchus (Pink-footed goose)
Lineage: Eukaryota; Metazoa; Chordata; Aves; Anseriformes; Anatidae
Description: lncRNA (ENSABRG00000019775.1)
Source: RNAcentral